UUUUUUGUUUCCGAUAAUCCAUUUAUAUUCUAAUUUAUCAUACUCUCUUUGAUUCAUUAUGGCGACAUUUCAACUCACUAAUACACGAACAACUUGAAAACCAUGUGAGUUCCGAUGAAGCGACCCUCCUCGUCGGCCACUCUCUUCCGUUUGAUGGUCGCCCUCUAGUGGCCGACCCUGCCGACGACCGGGCGGCUCAGCAUAGACGUCUGCUCCGGGGAUGAGGUCAAGAGAGACGGGAUCGUCGUUGGCCUUCUUGUGAAGGUACUUCACCGUCACUAAACCCUAAUCUACACAAGGCUGUUC
RNAcentral lists this long non-coding RNA (306 nucleotides) under Musa acuminata (dwarf banana). RNAcentral describes it as "long non-coding RNA (MACU_LNC005388)". Lineage: Eukaryota; Viridiplantae; Streptophyta; Magnoliopsida; Zingiberales; Musaceae. The record is from RNAcentral.